Molecule: long non-coding RNA, 322 nt
Filed under: Mytilus galloprovincialis (Mediterranean mussel)
Lineage: Eukaryota; Metazoa; Mollusca; Bivalvia; Mytilida; Mytilidae
Source: RNAcentral
AAAGUUAUGAAUACAUACAUAUUUUUAUUUAAGAUAGGUUAUAUUUCUUCAAACUAUUUUAUUUAUGUAAACGGAAGGUAAUCGAAAAGAGGAAAAUAAAUGGAUGAUAACAUAACAUCACAAUGUUUGCUGUAAUCGAUUAUAUAACAAUUACAUGUAAUCGAAAAUAUCAUCUAUAGAUUACUAUCAAUUACUGGAAACACAUGUAAUCAAUCACAAUCGAUUGCAAUUACAGAUUACGAUAAUGGUAUUCCUGAUCAAUGGAGUUUGAAAGAACAGUUGAUAAUGCAUGACAUUGUUUUUAUUCAUUAUUAUGGGCCGA